This 253-nucleotide ribosomal RNA is filed under the name uncultured bacterium. RNAcentral's name for it is "partial 16S ribosomal RNA". It matches the Rfam family "Bacterial small subunit ribosomal RNA", at positions 524 to 776 of the family's 1533-position model. The record is from RNAcentral.
UACGUAGGUGACAAGCGUUAUCCGGCAUUACUGGGCGUAAAGCGCACGCAGGCGGCUGCGUAAGUCUGACGUGAAAUCUCCCGGCUUAACCGGGAGCGGUCGUUGGAAACUAUGCGGCUUGAGGCGAUGAGAGGGGUGUGGAAUUCCCGGUGUAGUGGUGGAAUGCGUAGAUAUCGGGAGGAACAUCAGUGGCGAAAGCGGCACCCUGGCAUUAGCCUGACGCUCAGGUGCGAAAGCGUGGGGAGCGAACGGG